This 441-nucleotide ribosomal RNA is filed under the name uncultured bacterium. Its description in RNAcentral is "bacterial SSU rRNA". It matches the Rfam family "Bacterial small subunit ribosomal RNA", at positions 338 to 796 of the family's 1533-position model. The record is from RNAcentral.
CCUACGGGGGGCAGCAGUAGGGAAUAUUGGACAAUGGGCGAAAGCCUGAUCCAGCCAUGCCGCGUGAGUGAAGAAGGCCUUAGGGUUGUAAAGCUCUUUUAGUGGGGAAGAUAAUGACUGUACCCACAGAAAAAGCCCCGGCUAACUUCGUGCCAGCAGCCGCGGUAAUACGAAGGGGGCUAGCGUUGUUCGGAAUCACUGGGCGUAAAGCGGGUGUAGGUGGAUGUUUAAGUGAGGGGUGAAAGCCCAAGGCUCAACCUUGGAACGGCCUCUCAUACUGAGCAUCUAGAGUCUGGAAGGGGGAAAUGGAAUUCCGAGUGUAGAGGUGAAAUUCGUAGAUAUUCGGAGGAACACCAGUGGCGAAGGCGAUUUCCUGGUACAUGACUGACACUCAGACCCGAAAGUGUGGGGAUCAAACAGGAUUAGAUACCCUUGUAGUCC